UCUCUUCCCAGGAAGCUAGUGGAGGACCUGCAACGACAAAACCAAAGAAUAAAGCAAGAGGAUAGACAUCAUGGAAAUAACUACAUGGACCUCAGGGACAUCUUUGAGCAACAUUGUGAUUGGAUUCAACCAGGAACAACAGUUUUAAGAAAAGGAGACCCCUAGGAGAACAUUUCUGCUAGAAAAGAUCUGCUUACCAAUUAAGUGCUGAAGCUGCUCUCUCCAGUGACUUUCAGACUGCCCAGAAAUAAAAUUUUAAGAUGCCACCA
This 269-nucleotide long non-coding RNA is filed under the name Bos mutus (wild yak). RNAcentral's name for it is "lncRNA (ENSBMUG00000019639.1)". The record is from RNAcentral. Lineage: Eukaryota; Metazoa; Chordata; Mammalia; Artiodactyla; Bovidae.